Molecule: ribosomal RNA, 492 nt
Filed under: uncultured bacterium
Lineage: Bacteria
Description: partial 16S ribosomal RNA
Rfam family: Bacterial small subunit ribosomal RNA
Source: RNAcentral
AGUGAACGCUGGCGGUAGGCCUAACACAUGCAAGUCGAACGGCAGCACAGUAAGAGCUUGCUCUUACGGGUGGCGAGUGGCGGACGGGUGAGGAAUACAUCGGAAUCUACUUUUUCGUGGGCGAUAACGUAGGGAAACUUACGCUAAUACCGCAUACGACCUACGGGUGAAAGCAGGGGAUCUUCGGACCUUGCGCGAUUGAAUGAGCCGAUGUCGGAUUAGCUAGUUGGCGGGGUAAAGGCCCACCAAGGCGACGAUCCGUAGCUGGCCUGAGAGGAUGAUCAGCCACACUGGAACUGAGACACGGUCCAGACUCCUACGGGAGGCAGCAGUGGGGAAUAUUGGACAAUGGGCGCAAGCCUGAUCCAGCCAUACCGCGUGGGUGAAGAAGGCCUUCGGGUUGUAAAGCCCUUUUGUUGGGAAAGAAAAGCAGCAGGUUAAUACCCCGCUGUUCUGACGGUACCCAAAGAAUAAGCACCGGCUAACUUCGUG